CAAGCGUUGUUCGGAUUUACUGGGCGUAAAGGGCGCGUAGGCGGCGUGACAAGUCACUUGUGAAAUCUCUGGGCUUAACCCAGAACGGCCAAGUGAAACUGUUGUGCUAGAGUGCAGAAGGGGCAAUCGGAAUUCUCGGUGUAGCGGUGAAAUGCGUAGAUAUCGAGAGGAACACCAGAGGUGAAGACGGGUUGCUGGGCUGACACUGACGCUGAGGCGCGAAAGCCAGGGGAGCAAACGGG
This 242-nucleotide ribosomal RNA is filed under the name uncultured bacterium. RNAcentral's name for it is "partial 16S ribosomal RNA". It matches the Rfam family "Bacterial small subunit ribosomal RNA", at positions 535 to 776 of the family's 1533-position model. The record is from RNAcentral.